ACCAAUUCUAGAGGAUAAAACAGUUCCUUCUGGUGUAAUGGCUCGGAUGCAAGAGUAAUGUUUGUGGCCAUCCUGAUAAAUGGGUUGUUUCAAUGCCAUUUGAUCCUGGAAACACCUCAUACAAUA
Cynara cardunculus var. scolymus (artichoke) is the source of this 126-nucleotide small nucleolar RNA. Lineage: Eukaryota; Viridiplantae; Streptophyta; Magnoliopsida; Asterales; Asteraceae. The record is from RefSeq and is a predicted model, not a curated record.